This 373-nucleotide ribosomal RNA is filed under the name uncultured organism. Its description in RNAcentral is "bacterial SSU rRNA". It matches the Rfam family "Bacterial small subunit ribosomal RNA", at positions 527 to 896 of the family's 1533-position model. The record is from RNAcentral.
CGGGGGAGCAAGCGUUGUUCGGAUUUACUGGGCGUAAAGGGCGCGUAGGCGGCCAGCGCAAGUCAGUUGUGAAAUCUCCGGGCUUAACUCGGAAAGGUCAACUGAUACUGCGCGGCUAGAGUGCAGAAGGGGCAACUGGAAUUCUCGGUGUAGCGGUGAAAUGCGUAGAUAUCGAGAGGAACACCUGCGGCGAAGGCGGGUUGCUGGGCUGACACUGACGCUGAUGCGCGAAAGCCAGGGGAGCGAACGGGAUUAGAUACCCCGGUAGUCCUGGCCUUAAACGAUGGAUGCUUGGUGUCUGGAGUUUUAUAGUCUCCGGGUGCCGUAGCUAACGCGUUAAGCAUCCUGCCUGGGGAGUACGGUCGCAAGACUG